AGUAAAUGCUGCUGUGAAAAUCCGUGUCCAAUGUUUGACCGUCCAUCUUAUUUGAAAAAUUUAUAAAUUUUUUUUAAAAAAAUUAGUCACACAUAAAGUAUUAUUCAUGUUUUAUCAUCUAAUAACAAUAAAAAUAAUAAUCAUAAAAAAAUUUCAAAUAAGACGAACAGUCAAACGUUGGAGAUGAAUAGUGCAAAACUUAUU
Molecule: microRNA precursor, 204 nt
Filed under: Oryza nivara
Lineage: Eukaryota; Viridiplantae; Streptophyta; Magnoliopsida; Poales; Poaceae
Description: MIR812 microRNA precursor family
Rfam family: MIR812 microRNA precursor family
Source: Rfam by way of RNAcentral